AAACUUUGUCCGCGUAGUUGUUUGCAGACCAUUGUUCAGGAUAUGACAAUGAUUCUUCGCAUUCUUUUGGUUUUGGCUUUGGUGUCUUUUGCCGAAGGCUGCAGCAUUUUCUUUCAAAGGAACACUUGCACGUGUCGAUGCGGCGAUUUCUUCGACAUCUGCGAUAAUGGCUGCAAAAGAAUAAGCGGUAUUUGGGGUACAACUUGUUCGUACAACUGUGCUAAACUGCUGAGGAGCUGUUUGAACAAUUGUCCAAAGUAAAAUGUUUUGAAAUUAUUUCACUACAAGCGGGAUAUCAGCUGAUAAAUAGUUUGAAGAUGCAGGAUAACCAGUAGCAACUUAUGAAUUCUGAAAUAUUAUGCAUAUAUAUUGACUUUAAAAUACCUUUCGAUUGAAGACUUUCCUUGAAACAAAUUUACUAUUACUGUACCUUUUCUGUAAAUGGAAUAAAAAUUGUUGCAAUCAA
Long non-coding RNA from Saccostrea cuccullata (small rock oyster), 466 nucleotides. RefSeq lists it as uncharacterized. NCBI's taxonomy places the organism in Eukaryota, Metazoa, Mollusca, Bivalvia, Ostreida, Ostreidae. The transcript has 2 exons. The record is from RefSeq and is a predicted model, not a curated record.